RNAcentral lists this unclassified non-coding RNA (112 nucleotides) under soil metagenome. RNAcentral describes it as "partial internal transcribed spacer 1". The record is from RNAcentral.
AAGAUUGACCGAAAGGUCUUAUCUCUAUAUCCCUCACCCCUGUGAACUGUGGACCUCCGGGUCUAUUUAACAAACAUCAGUGUAAUGAACGUAUAUAUCAUUAAACAAAACA